UCCUAAGUAUCUUGUUUGUGCCAAGCUGGU
RNAcentral lists this non-coding RNA (30 nucleotides) under Mus musculus (house mouse). The record is from RNAcentral. Lineage: Eukaryota; Metazoa; Chordata; Mammalia; Rodentia; Muridae.